This 253-nucleotide ribosomal RNA is filed under the name uncultured bacterium. RNAcentral describes it as "partial 16S ribosomal RNA". It matches the Rfam family "Bacterial small subunit ribosomal RNA", at positions 524 to 776 of the family's 1533-position model. The record is from RNAcentral.
UACAGAGGUCUCAAGCGUUGUUCGGAUUCAUUGGGCGUAAAGGGCGCGUAGGCUGCGGGGCAAGUCGGGUGUGAAAUCUCAGAGCUCAACUCUGAAACUGCACUCGAUACUGCUUUGCUCGAGGACUGGAGAGGAGAUUGGAAUUCACGGUGUAGCAGUGAAAUGCGUAGAUAUCGUGAGGAAGACCAGUGGCGAAGGCGGAUCUCUGGACAGUUCCUGACGCUGAGGCGCGAAGGCCAGGGGAGCAAACGGG